CAGCAGCAGCCGCGGUAAUACGGAGGGUGCAAGCGUUAAUCGGAAUUACUGGGCGUAAAGCGCACGCAGGCGGUCUGACAAGUCAGAUGUGAAAUCCCCGGGCUUAACCUGGGAACUGCAUUUGAAACUGUCAGGCUGGAGUCUUGUAGAGGGGGGUAGAAUUCCAGGUGUAGCGGUGAAAUGCGUAGAGAUCUGGAGGAAUACCGGUGGCGAAGGCGGCCCCCUGGACAAAGACUGACGCUCAGGUGCGAAAGCGUGGGGAGCAAACAGGAUUAGAUACCCGUGUAGUCCCUGUCUCUUAUAC
Molecule: ribosomal RNA, 304 nt
Filed under: uncultured bacterium
Lineage: Bacteria
Description: partial 16S ribosomal RNA
Rfam family: Bacterial small subunit ribosomal RNA
Source: RNAcentral